GCAGGGAAUAUUGCACAAUGGGCGAAAGCCUGAUGCAGCGACGCCGCGUGAGGGAUGAAGGCCCCCGGGUCGUAAACCUCUUUCAGGAGGGACGAAGCGCAAGUGACGGUACCUCCAGAAGAAGCCCCGGCCAACUACGUGCCAGCAGCCGCGGUAAUACGUAGGGGGCAAGCGUUGUCCGGAUUUAUUGGGCGUAAAGAGCUCGUAGGCGGCUCAGCAAGUCGGCCGUGAAAUCCCGGAGCUCAACUCCGGGAGGCCGGUCGAAACUGCUGUGGCUAGGGUCCGGUAGAGGAGAGUGGAAUUCCCGGUGUAGCGGUGAAAUGCGCAGAUAUCGGGAGGAACACCAGUAGCGAAGGCGGCUCUCUGGGCCGGCACCGACGCUGAGGAGCGAAAGCUAGGGGAGCAAACAGGAUUAGAUACCCUAGUAGUCC
RNAcentral lists this ribosomal RNA (431 nucleotides) under uncultured bacterium. Its description in RNAcentral is "bacterial SSU rRNA". It matches the Rfam family "Bacterial small subunit ribosomal RNA", at positions 354 to 796 of the family's 1533-position model. The record is from RNAcentral.